GAUGAACGCUAGCUACAGGCUUAACACAUGCAAGUCGAGGGGAAACGGCAUUGAGUGCUUGCACUCUUUGGACGUCGACCGGCGCACGGGUGAGUAACGCGUAUCCAACCUUCCCAUUACUGUGGGAUAACCUGCCGAAAGGCAGACUAAUACCGCAUAGUCUUCGAUGACGGCAUCAGAUUUGAAGUAAAGAUUUAUCGGUAAUGGAUGGGGAUGCGUCUGAUUAGCUUGUUGGCGGGGUAACGGCCCACCAAGGCUACGAUCAGUAGGGGUUCUGAGAGGAAGGUCCCCCACAUUGGAACUGAGACACGGUCCAAACUCCUACGGGAGGCAGCAGUGAGGAAUAUUGGUCAAUGGACGGAAGUCUGAACCAGCCAAGUAGCGUGCAGGAUGACGGCCCUAUGGGUUGUAAACUGCUUCUGUAUGGGGAUAAAGUUAGGGACGUGUCCCUAUUUGCAGGUACCAUACGAAUAAGGACCGGCUAAUUCCGUGCCAGCAGCCGCGGUAAUACGGAAGGUCCAGGCGUUAUCCGGAUUUAUUGGGUUUAAAGGGAGCGUAGGCUGGAGAUUAAGUGUGUUGUGAAAUGUAGACGCUCAACGUCUGAAUUGCAGCGCAUACUGGUUUCCUUGAGUACGCACAACGUUGGCGGAAUUCGUCGUGUAGCGGUGAAAUGCUUAGAUAUGACGAAGAACUCCGAUUGCGAAGGCAGCUGACGGGAGCGCAACUGACGCUUAAGCUCGAAGGUGCGGGUAUCAAACAGG
RNAcentral lists this ribosomal RNA (761 nucleotides) under Prevotella melaninogenica. RNAcentral describes it as "bacterial SSU rRNA". It matches the Rfam family "Bacterial small subunit ribosomal RNA", at positions 28 to 776 of the family's 1533-position model. The record is from RNAcentral. Lineage: Bacteria; Pseudomonadati; Bacteroidota; Bacteroidia; Bacteroidales; Prevotellaceae.